Molecule: non-coding RNA, 25 nt
Filed under: Cricetulus griseus (Chinese hamster)
Lineage: Eukaryota; Metazoa; Chordata; Mammalia; Rodentia; Cricetidae
Source: RNAcentral
UCCGGAGGGAGAGGAACAAACUGGC